This 71-nucleotide transfer RNA is filed under the name Salix viminalis (osier). It matches the Rfam family "tRNA". Rfam says of the family: Transfer RNA (tRNA) molecules are approximately 80 nucleotides in length. Their secondary structure includes four short double-helical elements and three loops (D, anti-codon, and T loops). The record is from RNAcentral. Lineage: Eukaryota; Viridiplantae; Streptophyta; Magnoliopsida; Malpighiales; Salicaceae.
GGGAUUGUAGUUCAAUCGGCAAGCACCGCCCUGUCAAGCGGAAGCUGCGGGUUCGAGCCCCGUCAGUCCCG